GUGCUAAGGUAGCAUAAUCAUUUGCUACUUAAUUGGUAGCUGGAAUGAAAGGUUAAACUAGCUUACUCAGUUUGUUGUGUUUUGUAAGAAAUUAAAGUCGAGGUAAGAAUUCUUUGAUCUGCUAGGGGACGAUAAGACCCUAGAAGCUUAACAAUAAGAGUAUUUAUUAGUUAUAAAAAUUAAUUUGUUUUACUGGGGCGGUAAAGGUAUAUAAACUAUUAGUGUAUUGAUAGAUCCUUAAAAUAAAGAUAAAACGGGAAAGUUACUCUAGGGGUAACAGUGCAAUAUUUUUGGAGAGAUCAUAUCGAUAAAAAUGUUUGCAACCUCGAUGUUGAAUUAAGAUGUCUACGUGAAGCAGCAGGUACGUGAGAAAGUUUGUUCAACCUUUAAAUUUUUACAUGAUCUGAGUUCAAACCG
RNAcentral lists this ribosomal RNA (417 nucleotides) under Gammarus sp. lacustris-type SB67. RNAcentral describes it as "partial 16S ribosomal RNA". It matches the Rfam family "Bacterial large subunit ribosomal RNA", at positions 1948 to 2618 of the family's 2925-position model. Lineage: Eukaryota; Metazoa; Arthropoda; Malacostraca; Amphipoda; Gammaridae. The record is from RNAcentral.